Molecule: long non-coding RNA, 1054 nt
Filed under: Setaria viridis
Lineage: Eukaryota; Viridiplantae; Streptophyta; Magnoliopsida; Poales; Poaceae
Description: long non-coding RNA (SVIR_LNC004873)
Source: RNAcentral
GACAAGUCGUUGUAUGGUGGGUGCAAUUUACUCACAAAAUUAACAUUGGCGGUAUUAGAUAAAAUGUUCCAAUAUAAUUCAUUAUGUAUGGUACUCCCUUCGUCCCGAAUUAAAUUAUACACUAUGUCUGAAUGCAUAGUAAAAAGGGAGCGACUAGUCUGUCAAUAGAAAAAAGAGGUCCAAAUCUGUCGAUUUCUGGAUCAUUGGAUUGAAAUUGAACGAACUAGAUUCACCCACCAACAUAUAAAAAAAAUCCAACCCUUCCUCUAAAGCGCUCGUGAGUCUCCCAACACCUGCCGCUACUACUCCCCUCCGCGUCUCCACGGUGACCUUGACUCCACCGAUGUGCUCCUCCGCCAUGGCUCUCCCUCCCCAAUCUCUAUCUCCCCACCACCUCUCCGCCUUCUUCUUCCCUAUUGCCGAGCUGGGAUCCGAGUCCCCAUGUCCGUCGCCAUCCGCCCUGCUCCGGCUGCGCCAUUGCUGUGGAGCUGCCACCAAACUGAACCACUUCAACCCCUAUGCCCCUACCACCAUCCCUUCCCAACCGCCAUCUACUACCACUGCGGCGGGCGGCGCCCCCGCCGCCUCACCGUCCCGCCUGCUGUCCACCAAAAGGUUUGCACACUCCUAAAUAUAGGACUGGACAACAAGACGUAUCUGACAUGAAGAUUAUGGUGCAGGACGGCUAGUCUGUGUGGAAAGAUAGUAACUAGUCGAGGACCAAGAAAAGUACUCGUAAUAAUCAGAGUAGAACUCGUUUAGUCGAAUCCGACUAGUUUUCUUGUAACCAACCGACCUGUAACCCUACCCCCGGCAAUAUAUGGUGAGAUAGGGACCCUCUCCAAAGUAAUUCAAUCCAACCAACACACAGGACGUAAGGUAUUACACUAUUCAGCGGCCUGAACCUAUGUAAAUCAUGUGUCUGCGUUUAUCUUCGAGUUUCUGAUCUUGGUGAUCCCCACUAACCAAAACACUACCUCGGGCACCCCCCCCCGGUAUGUUGCCGGGUUUAAACACCGACAGCUGGUGCACCAGGUAGGCGAAGUCACUGAAA